GCCUGGGUUGGAUUUAUGGCAGGCCCAUCCUCCUGGUUCUCUGAUAGUAUCCCAUGCCAGAGCAAACUGUGGCCCCAGCCAUUGCCUGGCUUCUGCCUGUAGGCUAUUGGCACUGAAGGGGAUUUCACAGAG
Small nucleolar RNA from Perognathus longimembris pacificus (Pacific pocket mouse), 132 nucleotides. RefSeq annotates it as small nucleolar RNA SNORA42/SNORA80 family. Lineage: Eukaryota; Metazoa; Chordata; Mammalia; Rodentia; Heteromyidae. The transcript has a single exon. The record is from RefSeq and is a predicted model, not a curated record.